Molecule: ribosomal RNA, 488 nt
Filed under: uncultured bacterium
Lineage: Bacteria
Description: bacterial SSU rRNA
Rfam family: Bacterial small subunit ribosomal RNA
Source: RNAcentral
AACGAACGCUGGCGGCACGCCUAACACAUGCAAGUCGCGCGAGAAAGUUCUUCGGAAUGAGUACAGCGGCGCACGGGUGAGUAAUGCAUAGGAACGUACCUAUAGGUGGGGAACAACCAAGCGAAAGCUUGGCUAAUACCGCAUAAUCUCGCAAGAGUAAAGAUGGCCUCUACUUGUAAGCUAUCGCCAAUAGAGCGGCCUAUGCCCCAUUAGCUAGUUGGUAGGGUAAUGGCCUACCAAGGCAACGAUGGGUAGCUGGUCCUGAGAGGACGGACAGCCACACUGGGACUGAGACACGGCCCAGACUCCUACGGGAGGCAGCAGUGGGGAAUAUUGGACAAUGGGCGCAAGCCUGAUCCAGCCAUGCCGCGUGCAGGAUGACGGUCCUAUGGAUUGUAAACUGCUUUUGUACAGGAAGAACACUGGUUCGUGAACCAGCUUGACGGUACUGUAAGAAUAAGGAUCGGCUAACUCCGUGCCAGCAGCCG